CCAUCCAUGUCUCUGCAGCAGCAUCACGUGUCUCCUCGUCCUGUUUCCUGAUAUUUCAUCAAGCUCUCUGCAGACGGACUGACAUCAUCCAGGAAGCCGCCGUAUCAGCUCCAUUCCCAGGAAUUAACCCUUGAUCUGCCUCUGUUUGCACCCAGCUGGUGUUUUUGUCAGAGGAAGUGGACUCUAGACACCCUGAAGCCGUCGUUACUCUGAGAUCAGGACACGCCCAUGAAGAUGUCUGCUGGGAAAGUUGUUCAAACAGGAACUCUAACGGGUUAAAGCUUCACAGCAGCAGCGUCAGCGCCUCACUGGGCCGGAUGGACGAUGUGACAUAAAUGCUGAGUCGCUGUGUCCUCAUAGAUGUGAGCUCAUACAGUGGAACAAAGAAGUCUGAGGUUCAGUCUGACACGUCUGUCUGUCCGCCGACUACAACCAAGAAUCUGUGACUGUAUGACCUCCAGAUGACACCAUGACUAACACCAAGAGAACAAAAUCAUGUCUGGUCUGACACUUGUUUUGAAAAAUGCUGCAAAGAACCCACAGUAGUUUAUGUCAAUCAGGUUAAUGAGGAAGUUAAAUGGACUUCAGUCGUUUAAUAAACAGCUGCUACAACUGAA
Acanthochromis polyacanthus (spiny chromis) is the source of this 617-nucleotide long non-coding RNA. RefSeq lists it as uncharacterized. The transcript has 3 exons. Lineage: Eukaryota; Metazoa; Chordata; Actinopteri; Pomacentridae. The record is from RefSeq and is a predicted model, not a curated record.